GGAGGGACACCAGGGGCCGAAGCCGGCCUACUGGGCUGGAAAUGACGCUGAGGCUCGAAAGCGUGGGUAGCAAACAGGAAUAGAUACCCUGGUAGUCCACGCCGUAAACGAUGAUUACUAGUGUGGGGGGACUACCCCUUCCGUGCCGGAGUUUACACAAAAAGUAAUCCACCUGGGGAGUACGGCCGCAAGGCUGAAACUCAAAGGAAUUGACGGGGGCCCGCACAAGCAGUGGAGUAUGUGGUUUAAUUCGAAGCAACGCGAAGAACCUUACCAGGUCUUGACAUCGAGUGACGAACUUAGAGAUAAGUUCUUCCUUCGGGACACGAAGACAGGUGGUGCAUGGUNGUCGUCAGCUCGUGUCGUGAGAUGUUGGGUUAAGUCCCGCAACGAGCGCAACCCUUAUCAUUAGUUGCUACGCAAGAGCACUCUAAUGAGACUGCCGUUGAUAAAACGGAGGAAGGUGGGGAUGACGUCAAAUCAUCAUGCCCCUUAUGACCUGGGCUACACACGUACUACAAUGGUGAUCAAACAGAGGGAAGCAACACAGCGAUGUGAAGCAGAACCCGAAAAAUCAUCUCAGUUCAGAUUGCAGGCUGCAACUCGCCUGCAUGAAGUCGGAAUUGCUAGUAAUCGCGGAUCAGCAUGCCGCGGUGAAUACGUUCCCGGGCCUUGUACACACCGCCCGUCACACCAUGGGAGUCGGUAACACCCGAAGCCAGUAGCCUAACCGUAAGGAGGGCGCUGUCGAAGGUGGGAUUGAUGACUGGGGUGAAGUCGUAACAAGGUAGCCGUAUCGGAAGGUGCGGCUG
Molecule: ribosomal RNA, 812 nt
Filed under: human gut metagenome
Description: bacterial SSU rRNA
Rfam family: Bacterial small subunit ribosomal RNA
Source: RNAcentral